GGACGACGCUGGCGGCGUGCCUAAUACAUGCAAGUAGAACGCUGAAGGAGGAGCUUGCUCUUUCCGGAUGAGUUGCGAACGGGUGAGUAACGCGUAGGUAACCUGCCUGGUAGUGGGGGAUAACUAUUGGGAAAACGAUAGCUAAUACCGCAUAAUAGUAGAUGUUGCAUGACAUUUGCUUAAAAGGUGCAAUUGCAUCACUACCAGAUGGACCUGCGUUGUAUUAGCUAGUUGGUGAGGUAACGGCUCACCAAGGCAACGAUACAUAGCCGACCUGAGAGGGUGAUCGGCCACACUGGGACUGAGACACGGGCCCAGACUCCUACGGGAGGCAGCAGUAGGGGAAUCUUCGGCAAUGGACGGAAGUCUGACCGAGCAACGCCGCGUGAGUGAAGAAGGUUUUCGGAUCGUAAAGCUCUGUUGUAAGAGAAGAACGAGUGUGAGAGUGGAAAGUUCACACUGUGACGGUAUCUUACCAGAAAGGGACGGCUAACUACGUG
This 500-nucleotide ribosomal RNA is filed under the name uncultured Streptococcus sp. Its description in RNAcentral is "bacterial SSU rRNA". It matches the Rfam family "Bacterial small subunit ribosomal RNA", at positions 33 to 507 of the family's 1533-position model. The record is from RNAcentral. Lineage: Bacteria; Bacillati; Bacillota; Bacilli; Lactobacillales; Streptococcaceae.